RNAcentral lists this transfer RNA (65 nucleotides) under Microcaecilia dermatophaga (tiny white caecilian). Its description in RNAcentral is "tRNA-Tyr". Lineage: Eukaryota; Metazoa; Chordata; Amphibia; Gymnophiona; Siphonopidae. The record is from RNAcentral.
GGUAAGAUGGCUGAGAAUAAGCGGCGGACUGUAGUCCCGACGACAAGGUUGAUACCUUUUUUACC